Molecule: long non-coding RNA, 4757 nt
Organism: Callithrix jacchus (white-tufted-ear marmoset)
Lineage: Eukaryota; Metazoa; Chordata; Mammalia; Primates; Cebidae
Source: RefSeq, a predicted model, not a curated record
CACUCUCAUGAGCCUCCCUCUUUGCUGCCCCAUCCCUGCCUUGCUGUCCUUCAUCUCUCUGUACCUCGAGCCUUUUUUUACAUUUCUUCAGUUGCUUUUCUCCUCCUGCUUUAUCCUUUCAUUUCUCCCCACUUUUACUGUCUCUUGCAAAUCCCUCACCCAUUCUCUACUUUGCCAUCUGUUAGGGGGUCUUUCUUUCUUUUGUCUCUUAGGUUUUCCAUUGUUCUGUCUCCUGAUCCCUUUGGCCCACACAAUCACAGGAGGGUUGGAAGUAACACGCCUGCAUCCCAGAAGAGAGCAUUUUCCAGGGACUGAAGGUGGGCAGGCGAGAACACCUCCUGUCACAGGACAGGCCCCAGGCACCUUCUCAACGCGAGGUCAGGAGAAGCAGUGACUGCCGAAGGGAGACCUGGGAAGCAUCAGGGCCUGGCACAAAAACGAGGGAGAUGGGGGGUGACGGUGCGUUAAGACAAAGGCGGUGUCUGCAGGAUCCCACGACCAGACAGAGGACGCGGCCUCUCCGGGACCGGGGCUGCGGCGCUGUGCUCAGGGGGGCCGACGAGGGUAGGAGGCGCCUAGGGCAGGAAUCCACCUCUCGGCAGAAUAACCAGGACAGGACCAGCCUCAGGGAGACUUUAAACCGAAAAGGAAGCGACCCCCGGAGAAUCCCAGGAGGACGUCCCAAUUGGCUCUGUGUGAAGGAAGACGGGCGAGAAUUUCCCGGUCUGUGGGGACCCCACGUCCCAGGUACAGAAGCGCCAGGGACCUGCGACGCGCAGACUUAAUACAAGACAGUGCGAAACUCACGCGACGCUAAGGGACCUGAACUCGACGCGAUCCGCUUCCGGGUUUGCGCGAGCCUGCGCGCGCAGGACGGAAGCCAGUUUUGGGCGGGACCCGCGUGGAGGUGGGCGGGACCCGCGUGGAGGUGGGCGCGGCCUGGGCGAGGUGGAGGCGGGGCGCUGGGCGGAGAGACCUUGCCCUUCAGAACCAGCAGAGGGAGGGGCGGGCCUGCACCUGAGCGUCUCUCAGCUUCGCUCCCAGAGUCUGUUUAUUGGGUUUUGGAGGCAAGAGCAGCCAGGAAGGCUGAGACUUGAGUUAAAAGCCCUGGAAUUGUCUGGAACGGGGAUGCAAACCAGAAUGUGAAAUGCAAAGCCCUGCCAGAGCAGCACAGAACGAUUUCAUGCUGACGCCCACAGAACAGAAUAGAGAUUCUCUCCCUUUCUACUCUCCAUUUACUCGGGAAGGACAGUCCAGCCUGUGCUCAACUGCAGAGACUUCCCGGACGCCCCCGGCUGGGAUUCGGGACUAAGUGCUCAGGCCAGGGAGGAGCGAGGUCACCAACUGCUGCUUGAACAGGGCAGACCUGAGAGCGUGAGGGCGGGAGACUGAGGUCCCAGCUACUCAGGAAGCGGAAGGAUAGCUGUCAUCAUAGAAAUCCUAAACAAGGCCGUGGUGGCUCAAGCCUGUAAUCCCAGCACUUUGGGAGGCCGAGGCGAGAGGAUCUCAGACUCACACUAUUACCCUCGUAAACUUUCUUGCUAGUAAAGGAUGUAGGGUUUCCCCCUCCAAAGCCCAACUCUCAGCUCCAACACCGACAUGCUUAGGAGUUCAGCUCUCCCACGGGGCCCAAGCCACGACCCCAGCACGGGCAGCACUGACUGAUACACAGCCUGCCCCCACUCACCUCUAAAAGUGAAAUCUUCAGAAUAUGGAUUCCCAGUUAUUCCCUCCUAGCCCACACCCUCUGUGAAGCAGCUAAAGGCCCUCUCGAUGAGCCCCGAAAUCCUUCACACGACAUAGUCCCUAGCUUCCACACAGUUAUAGCCACCCUUGUAACUGCUCCUGCUCUGCCUUUGCCUGACAUUUCUCAGCCUUUCAUUCUCUACACAGCCCAAAACCAUGGAAUAGCCCUUGGUGUUGAAAGAAAAGGAAGUCCCCUUUCCUCUCUCCCAUAGCUUACCUAUCUGAACAACUAGACUACACUGCCGAACCGUGGCCCACCUGCCUCAGAGCCGCAGCAGCAGCCACCAUCCGAGCCUUAGAAAGCACGAAACUACCAGUCCACUGAGACACCGCAGUCCACAGCCCACACAAUCCACAGGGUCUCCUCCCCUCCCGAGCACUGAGCACACUUUCUCCGUGGAUCCAACUACCCCACGCCCUCUUCCUUGAACACCCUGAGAGCCGCCUCUCCAAAGUGCUCCCCUCAGUCCUGUGUCCCUACUUCAGUGUUUUCCUCCCCUCCCACCCGCUCCUGUACUGACAUCCUACAGCACCAUUCCCUCCGAUCUCCCUCCUCAUGAUCCUGAGGACCAGUUAUUCAUAGACGGCUCCUCCUCCAAGUCAGCAAAUGCCAGGCAUGCAGUCGUCCCUUGACCAAGUAAUUGAAGCCAAACCCCCACCCCAGGGACCUCCUCCCCAAGGGGGAACUUACAGCUCUCACCAGGGCCCGAACCUCUGCAAAGGCAAGAGUCAACAUUUGUACCCAGUUUAAAUAUGCCUGUCACAUUCUCCAUUCUUAACGCCGCCACCUGGCAAGAGAGGAUUCCUUACCGUCAAAGGAACCCCCGUCACUAGUGGCCCCUUAUUUACCAACUUCUCCAAGCUGCACACCUCCCAGCUAAGGCAGGAGUUACGCAGUGUCGGGGACAUCAAACAGGGUCAGAUGACAAGAGGAAACAGAAAGGCUGGGGAGGCAGCCAAAACAGCCUCCAUUUCUUCUGCGCCUGCUCCUUUCCUCUUCAUUAUCCCCGCAAUCCACCCCCAAUGUUCCCCCACUGAAGAAUCUUCCCUGCUACAAGGGGCCUCCUUCCAAGGGAGCUGGGUAGUCAAAGUUUAUCAAAAACAAGACUCAGUCACAAACUCACUCCUGACGUCCAGCAACCCCGGCCCUCCCUUCUGUCCAUAGCCCUAGCCCAUAUCAGAGCCAGCCCAAAAGCACCCUCCUUCCUCGGCUCAUUUCACUUAAUGUAUGGACUCCCUUUCCUCCUGCAAAACAGGCCCCUUCUAAGUCAGCUAGGAGAGUACCUCCCAGCAUUUAUCCUCAUCUGCCAUCUCCUCCGUGAACAAGCAGACCAGGCCCUGCCAAAAUCCCACCAACCACACUCAACUACCAGGAGAGCAUGUCUUCCUAAAAACUCUUAACCCAGCAAGCCUUAAACCAAAGUGGGAAGGCCCUUUUCAAGUUAUUCUUAUAACCCCCACCACAGCCAGACUCUCAGGACCUGUCUCUUGACACCGUCUUUCCCGAUUAAAAAGAGCUCCCACUGGGCGCGGUGGCUCAAGCCUGUAAUCCCAGCACUUUGGGAGGCCGAGGCGGGUGAAUCACGAGGUCAACAGAUCGAGACCAUCCUGGUCAACAUGGUGAAACCCCGUCUCUACUAAAAAUACAAAAAAUUUGCUGGGCAAAGUGGCGCAUGCCUGUAAUCCCAGCUACUCGGGAGGCUGAGGCAGGAGAAUUGCCUGAACCCAGGAGGCGGAGGUUGCGGUGAGCCGAGAUUGCGCCAUUGCACUCCAGCCUGGGUAACAGAAGUGAAAAACUCCGUUAAAAAAAAAAAAAAAAAAAAAAAAGAAAUUUACUUCAAAAAUAUAAAGACUAUCCAUACAAUGACCAGAGUGAAAUAACCAACAAGCGAAAAUGAAAUGCUUUUCCUGUUGAAUCUCACAUGAUGCAAGAAUGCUCUCAUCCCUUCUAUUCAAGAAGUACUGGCUGUCCUCGCCAGAGCAAUUAAAUAGCAAAAAAUGAAACUCAUCCAAAUCAGAAAGAAGUAAAGUUAUAUUUGUCAGGUCCAGACGAGGUGACUCACACCGUAAUCUCAGCACUUGGGAGGCUGAGGCAGGUGGACCACAAGGUUAGGAAAUUGAAGACCAUCCUGCCAACAUGGUGAAAUCCUGUCUCUACUGAAAUACAAAAAAGAAAAACAAAACAACAAAAUCAGUUGUGUGUGGUGGUGCAAGCCUUCAGUCCCAGCUACUCAGGAGGCUGAAACAGGAGAACUGCUUGGACACAGGAGGCGGAGGAUGCAGUGAGCAGAAAUUGUGCCAUGGCACUCCAGGCUGGCAACAGAAUGACUCUGUCUAAAAAAAAAAAUGUAGCCGGGCACCGGGGCUCACGCCUAUAAUCCCAGCACUUUCGGAGGCUGAGGCGGGUGGAUCACGAGGUCAAGAGAUGGAGACCAUCCUGGUAAACAAGGUAAAACCUCAUCUCUACUAAAAAUGCAAAAAUUAGCUGGGCAUGGUGGUGUGCACCUGAAGUCCCAGCUACUCAGGAGGCUGAGGCAGGAAAAUUGCUUGAACCCAGGAGGCGGAGUUUGUAACGAGCCGAGAUUGUGCCAUUGCACUCCUGUCUGGGUAACAACAGUCAAACUCCGUGUCAAGAAAAAAAAAUGUGUGUGUUUGCACAUGACAUGACUUUCUAUGUAGAACAUCAUUCGCCCGGCACAGUGGCUUACACUUGUAAUCCCAGCAUUAUGGGAGGCUAAAAUGGGAGGAUCACCUGAAGUUAGAAGUUCAAAACCAACAUGGUCAACACGGUAAAACCCCAUCUCUACUAGAAAUAAAAAAAAAGUAGCAGGCGUGGUGGGGGGUACCUAUCAUUCCACUUGCUCAGGAGGUUGAGGUAGGAGAAACACUUAACUCAGGAGGCGGAGGCUGCAGUGAGCCAAGCUCACAUCAUUGCACUUCAGCUCGAGCAGCAAGACUGACACUGGACACUGCCUCUCAAAAAAAAAAAAAGAAAAGAAAAGAAAAGAAAA